RNAcentral lists this small RNA (919 nucleotides) under uncultured fungus. Its description in RNAcentral is "eukaryotic LSU rRNA". The stretch from base 489 to 919 matches the Rfam family "Eukaryotic large subunit ribosomal RNA", at positions 1 to 429 of the family's 3401-position model. The record is from RNAcentral. Lineage: Eukaryota; Fungi.
UCCGUAGGUGAACCUGCGGAAGGAUCAUUACCUAGAGUUUGCAGACUUCGGUCUGCUACCUCUUACCCAUGUCUUUUGAGUACCUUCGUUUCCUCGGCGGGUCCGCCCGCCGAUUGGACAACAUUCAAACCCUUUGCAGUUGCAAUCAGCGUCUGAAAAAACAUAAUAGUUACAACUUUCAACAACGGAUCUCUUGGUUCUGGCAUCGAUGAAGAACGCAGCGAAAUGCGAUAAGUAGUGUGAAUUGCAGAAUUCAGUGAAUCAUCGAAUCUUUGAACGCACAUUGCGCCCCUUGGUAUUCCAUGGGGCAUGCCUGUUCGAGCGUCAUUUGUACCUUCAAGCUCUGCUUGGUGUUGGGUGUUUUGUCUCGCCUCCGCGUGUAGACUCGCCUUAAAACAAUUGGCAGCCGGCGUAUUGAUUUCGGAGCGCAGUACAUCUCGCGCUUUGCACUCAUAACGACGACGUCCAAAAGUACAUUUUUACACUCUUGACCUCGGAUCAGGUAGGGAUACCCGCUGAACUUAAGCAUAUCAAUAAGCGGAGGAAAAGAAACCAACAGGGAUUGCCCUAGUAACGGCGAGUGAAGCGGCAACAGCUCAAAUUUGAAAUCUGGCGUCUUUGGCGUCCGAGUUGUAAUUUGCAGAGGGCGCUUUGGCAUUGGCAGCGGUCCAAGUUCCUUGGAACAGGACGUCACAGAGGGUGAGAAUCCCGUACGUGGUCGCUAGCCUUUACCGUGUAAAGCCCCUUCGACGAGUCGAGUUGUUUGGGAAUGCAGCUCUAAAUGGGAGGUAAAUUUCUUCUAAAGCUAAAUACUGGCCAGAGACCGAUAGCGCACAAGUAGAGUGAUCGAAAGAUGAAAAGCACUUUGGAAAGAGAGUUAAAAAGCACGUGAAAUUGUUGAAAGGGAAACGCUUGAAGU